Molecule: ribosomal RNA, 397 nt
Filed under: uncultured bacterium
Lineage: Bacteria
Description: partial 16S ribosomal RNA
Rfam family: Bacterial small subunit ribosomal RNA
Source: RNAcentral
AUACGUAGGGAGCGAGCGUUGUCCGGAAUGAUUGGGCGUAAAGGGCGCGUAGGCGGCCCGGUAAGUCUGGAGUGAAAGUCCUGUUUUUAAGAUGGGAAUUGCUUUGGAUACUGUCGGGCUUGAGUGCAGGAGAGGUAAGUGGAAUUCCCAGUGUAGCGGUGAAAUGCGUAGAGAUCGGGAGGAACACCAGUGGCGAAGGCGGGUAACUGGACUGCAACUGACGCUGAGGCGCGAAAGUGUGGGGAGCAAACAGGAUUAGAUACCCUGGUAGUCCACACUGUAAACGAUGAAUGCUAGGUGUAAGAGGUAUCGACCCCUUUUGUGCCGGAGUCAACACAAUAAGCAUUCCGCCUGGGGAGUACGGCCGCAAGGUUGAAACUCAAAUGAAUUGACGGGG